GUUCAGGUAUGUUUUCCACUUUCUUGGGCUUGUUGAUACUGUAUUUUGUUUUUCGAGCAGCCCUGGCUUCUUCUAACUGUAUGUAUCCCGGGAGUCGGGCUAGAAUGUCAUCAAAAUCUCGUGGUUGCUUUACUUGUAAGUUAUCAAAGAAAGCUUCGGGCCUUAAACCCCGGACAAAGGCGUAACCCUUAAUCUGUGAUUCAGCUUUGGGCACUUCCAGAGAUGCCUUAGUGAAAGAGCAGCAAAUUCCUUUAGAGUUUCAGUAGGUUCUUGUUUUAGAUCCAUCAACGACAUCGCAGUCUUCACAGCACGCUUAGAACUUGCGAACUGGCACAUGAAAGCAUCGUGUAG
Molecule: long non-coding RNA, 351 nt
Filed under: Salvia miltiorrhiza (redroot sage)
Lineage: Eukaryota; Viridiplantae; Streptophyta; Magnoliopsida; Lamiales; Lamiaceae
Description: long non-coding RNA (SMIL_LNC000066)
Source: RNAcentral